RNAcentral lists this ribosomal RNA (1151 nucleotides) under human gut metagenome. RNAcentral describes it as "bacterial LSU rRNA". It matches the Rfam family "Bacterial large subunit ribosomal RNA", at positions 807 to 1983 of the family's 2925-position model. The record is from RNAcentral.
AGGUGUGGGUAGGGGAGAAAUUCCAAUCGAACCCGGAGAUAGCUGGUUCUCCUCGAAAUAGCUUUAGGGCUAGCCUCAUUUUAGUCUUAUGGAGGUAGAGCACUGAAUUUCCGCGGGGGCGUCAAAGCUUACCAAAGAAUAUCAAACUCCGAAUGCCAUGUAGAUGAUGAAUGGGAGUCAGACUGCACGAGAUAAGUUGGGCAGUCAAAAGGGAAAGAGCCCAGACCACCAGCUAAGGUCCCAAAGUGUGUGUUAAGUGGAAAAGGAUGUGGGAUUUCAAAGACAACUAGGAUGUUGGCUCAGAAGCAGCCACACAUUCAAAGAGUGCGUAACAGCUCACUAGUCGAGAGGUCCUGCGCCGAAAAUGUCCGGGGCUAAAACACAACACCGAAGCUGUGGAAUCACGUAAGUGAUUGGUAGAGGAGCAUUCUUAAGACCGACGAAGCUGUACCGGAAGGAGCAGUGGAGGGAUAAGAAGAGAGAAUGCCGGAAUGAGUAGCGAGAGAGAGGUGAGAAUCCUCUCGGCCGAAUAUCCAAGGUUUCCAGAGUAAAGCUGAUCUGCUCUGGGUAAGUCGGGGCCUAAGGAGAGGUCGAAAGACGUAUCCGAUGGACAACAGGUUUAGAUUCCUGUACCACAUAUGAACAGAACUGUGGGGACGCAUGUGGAGAGCACGAGCCGGGAAUGGAAAUACCGGUACAAGCGGAGAAGGAGUCUGGUUGGCAAAUCCGCCAGGCAAUCCGAAGACGUGAUGUGGAGCGAAUUAAAGUAGCGAAGCGUGUGAGCCAUGUGCCGAGAAAAGCCGCUAUUGUUUCAUGUGUGCCCGUACCGUAAACCGACACAGGUGGAUGAGGAGAGAAUCCUAAGGCCGGCGGAAGAAGCAUUGUUAAGGAACUCGGCAAAAUGACCCCGUAACUUCGGGAGAAGGGGUGCCUGCGCAAGCAGGCCGCAGAGAAUAGGCUCAAGCAACUGUUUAGCAAAAACACAGGUCUAUGCGAAACCGAAAGGUGAAGUAUAUGGGCUGACGCCUGCCCGGUGCUGGAAGGUUAAGAGGAGAGGUUAGCGCAAGCGAAGCUUUGAAUUUAAGCCCCAGUAAACGGCGGCCGUAACUAUAACGGUCCUAAGGUAGCGAAAUUCCUUGUCGGGUAAGUUC